Molecule: long non-coding RNA, 884 nt
Organism: Malurus melanocephalus (red-backed fairy wren)
Lineage: Eukaryota; Metazoa; Chordata; Aves; Passeriformes; Maluridae
Exons: 3
Source: RefSeq, a predicted model, not a curated record
AGAGUUUCCUUCAGGGGAUGGGGGUAGAAAGACUUCAAAACCUUGCCCAGAACGUGAAAUGUGGAGUGAAAAACAAACUUUCAGCUGACUUGUUCUGAUGGAGCUGAUGAGWGGCUGGCACACUUCUUAUUGGGGACYGUAAAAGAGAAUUUGGAUGAACUGCAAAGUUGAUGUCAUUCCUACUCCCUGUGGAAACGAACAGCUCUUAGCUGGAUGAGAAAUCAAUGCCAAUCAAGAYCACAGAAAUUAUUAAGGACUUCCCAUCCCGCGCCUUCACUCGAGAUUUUAUUGAGAACUGUGGAGAGACAUAUUCGAGCAGUUGUGAAGCUUCUCCCACGAUGUUAGCUUUGGAACAUUUUGUCUAAGUCACAAGUGCUGAAAUAAUUAAUUUUCUUCCUUUUAGCUAUGGUUUCUUAGCAUAGUACUAGGGAUUAUAAUGACUUGAAUGAUUGAUAUCCAUGAUUAAAUGCUUGUUCUUGGGAAAGGUAGAGYGUACCAUGGCUGUCAAAUGUUGGCUCCCUUUUAAGUUUGUGUUAAUUAUUUGCUAAUCUAUGACUCUUUCUUUAGUAAAAUCCCUUUCACAGGAUGAGAAGUGAGUGUGAGAUGUAAAUAAUUGACAACAAUGUGUAUUUCUCUGUAAUUUAAACAAAAAUAUAUGUCUCUAAAGCAGUUUUGUUAGCUAGGAUCCUUCUCUGCCCUAUGAAAAUCACAUGCCUUUUCAAYCCACCUAUUUUAUGUUCCUGUUUUGGAAGGAAAUUUUGAUGUCAGGAUUAGAUGUAUAAUUUCUAUGUGGUUUUACAGAGCUUCAGUGGUGUGUGAAUCCUACCUUUGGUGUGUUUAGGAAAUCCAUGUCUUCACUARAGAGCUGCAAGGGCUGAGUUAAC